RNAcentral lists this ribosomal RNA (436 nucleotides) under Nacerdes hilleri. RNAcentral describes it as "partial 16S ribosomal RNA". The stretch from base 315 to 436 matches the Rfam family "Bacterial large subunit ribosomal RNA", at positions 2473 to 2595 of the family's 2925-position model. Lineage: Eukaryota; Metazoa; Arthropoda; Insecta; Coleoptera; Oedemeridae. The record is from RNAcentral.
CUGUGCAAAGGUAGCAUAAUCAUUAGUUUUUUAAUUGAAAGCUGGAAUGAAUGGUUUAAUAAGAAAAAUUCUGUCUCAUUUUUAAUUUUAAAAUUUUAUUUUUAAGUUAAAAAGCUUAAAUAAAUUAAAAAGACGAGAAGACCCUUUAGAGUUUUAUAAAAAAAUAAUUAAUUAUUAUUAAGAUUUAAAUUUAAAAUUGGUUUUUAUUAUUUUAUUGGGGUGAUAUAAAAAUUUAAAUAACUUUUUAUUUAUUUAAUCAUUAAUUUAUGUGUGAAUGAUCUUGAUUUUUGGAUUAUAAGAAUAAUUACCUUAGGGAUAACAGCGUAAUUUUUUUUGAGAGUUCUUAUCGAAAAAGAAGUUUGCGACCUCGAUGUUGGAUUAAAAUUUAAUUUUGGCGUAGAAGUUAAAAAUUUAGGUCUGUUCGACCUUUAAAAUU